ACGAUAGUAGAGGGGCAUUAUAUUUUCUGGUCUGUGCGUCCGUUCGUUCGUCCGUCCGUCCGUUCGUUCGUUCGUCCGUCUGUCCCGCUUCAGGUUAAAGUUUUUGGUCGAGGUAGUUUUUGAUGAAGUUGAAGUCCAAUCGACUUCAAACUUGGUACACUUGUUCCCUAUGAUAUGAUCUUUCUAAUUUUAAUGCCAAAUUAGAGAUUUUACCCCAAUUUCACGGUCCACUGAACAUAGAAAAUGAUAGUGCGAGUGGGGCAUUCGUGUACUGAGGACACAUUCUUGUUUUUCAUAUAAAAUAACUU
Molecule: long non-coding RNA, 308 nt
Filed under: Mytilus galloprovincialis (Mediterranean mussel)
Lineage: Eukaryota; Metazoa; Mollusca; Bivalvia; Mytilida; Mytilidae
Source: RNAcentral